Pelobates cultripes (western spadefoot toad) is the source of this 395-nucleotide non-coding RNA. The record is from the annotation of a GenBank genome assembly. Lineage: Eukaryota; Metazoa; Chordata; Amphibia; Anura; Pelobatidae.
AUGCAUGGAGAAAUGCUCAACUCCUGAUGCAUUUGCGAAAAGGCCUUCACAAGCCUCUGCUAUCUUGUACAUAGUUUAUACUAAGUGACCCCUAGAUUGAGGAGGCGGUGACCAUGGCGGUGUAGCCCCCCAAAUGUUGGGGCAUAUAAAAAAAGACAACUCUGUUCCGCAAAGUAGCUGCUGACAUGAUAGUUGCGCAGGUACUUUGUUGACUCUAGAGAACUUCUGGCCAAUCGCAAAUCCACGUGACAGCGACUUUGCAUUCGGAUGUCAUCCAUAUCAACUUUCGAUGCCAGUUUCUGCGCCUACCAUGGUGACCACGUGUAAUGGGGAAUCAGGGUUCCAUUCCGUACAGGGACCCUGAGAAAUGGCUUCCACAUUUAAGGAAGGCAGCA